RNAcentral lists this ribosomal RNA (255 nucleotides) under uncultured bacterium. RNAcentral's name for it is "partial 16S ribosomal RNA". It matches the Rfam family "Bacterial small subunit ribosomal RNA", at positions 524 to 775 of the family's 1533-position model. The record is from RNAcentral.
UACAGAGGGUGCGAGCGUUGUCCGGAAUCACUGGGCGUAAAGGGCGCGUAGGUGGCGCCGCAAGUCCAUGAUGAAAGCUCGAUGCUCAACAUCGAGUCGGCCACGGAGACUGCGGGGCUCGAGCACUGUAGGGGCAGAUGGAAUUCCGGGUGUAGCGGUGGAAUGCGUAGAGAUCCGGAAGAACACCGGUGGCGAAGGCGGUCUGCUGGGCGAGUUGCUGGACACUGAGGCGCGACAGCGUGGGGAGGCAAACAG